AAACUAUUAUUAGCAAACCUAACUACCCAAAUUCCUAUGUCUCAGCCAAACUACCCAAAUUUCUAGCCUAAUUACUCUUUCCUAGUCGGCCAAAUUUCUAAUUUCCUAUCAAUUGAUGAUAAAUCCCUAAAUUUAUAACAUUAUAUAUUUACAUACGUUGACACCGAGGCCGAAUCUCGUCUCUUAUUAACGAAGAUUACAGAUACACUGGUCGCCGAUGCCGACUCGACUCGUUAUUCAUCUCUCAACUCCCAGCUCUUGUCAGUUGUCAUUCGUCGCCGGAGUAUUUGGUGGUAAAUGACAAAGGCAUACAAGUGCAAACAUUUCAGAAAUUGUGCUAGCCAAUAUUUUCAACCGCAUUUGAUUUGUUGCCUUCAAAAACUUCAUCUUUGACUGUUAUUAUAUGUUAAAGUUAUAAGUAAACCUCAAUAAAAAAAUUUAUCGUUAUUUGCAGUUGAUUGUAGAUGUCAUAUUAAAUGUGUGUAGCCUUGUUUAACUUGUCUAAUUUCAAUUGGACUAAUGUAACUCUCAUGGAUCAGUGGAUGAACUAUUAAGACUUCA
Molecule: long non-coding RNA, 561 nt
Organism: Solanum lycopersicum (tomato)
Lineage: Eukaryota; Viridiplantae; Streptophyta; Magnoliopsida; Solanales; Solanaceae
Source: RefSeq, a predicted model, not a curated record